This 3881-nucleotide long non-coding RNA is filed under the name Nicotiana benthamiana. RNAcentral's name for it is "long non-coding RNA (NBEN_LNC024439)". The record is from RNAcentral. Lineage: Eukaryota; Viridiplantae; Streptophyta; Magnoliopsida; Solanales; Solanaceae.
ACACGUAAAACAUGAAAAUUGUAGCCUUUUGAGCUAGCUUUCCAAAUAUAAAUUGUGUAGACUAAAUAGAGUUCUGAACAAAAAGUUAAUUGUAUUUUACUAGACAGUACACAAUAUGCCUACUCAAUUCUUCAUUUUGUUGUUUUAUCAUCUGUUGAUCCCCGAAUACGAUCCCGUCUUAAUUACUUGCGCUUUUACUCCGACUUCAAAACUCUAAAUCACUUGAAUUCAGUCCAUAACAUCUACAUAGCUCGGAAUUGCUUCUACAAGGCAUAAAAUACACAAUUAGUGCAAGACACUAGCAAUUAAAGCUCAAACUGAAUUAAAGUGCAGUAAAUUUGAGUAUAAUAAGUGACUAAUAUACGUAUUUAUAGCCUAUCAUCACCCAUUCUUAUUCCUUGUCAAGAAAGAAACAACUCUAAUUUUUUCUUUUACACGAUUAAAAGCAUUUAUUCAAGAACCAAGACUACAUAUUUCACAAAUCAACACACUCACCAAACUAUCAUAACACAAUAAAUGAGAAUAAAAUUGAGAAAUAAACCUUUUAUUGAUGAACAAAGCUGAAAAUUAGGAAUCAAUCAGGCUAAACAAAGCAACAAUCUUUGAACUGAAACACUGAAAUUACAAACCAGAACCUCAAAUCGACACCGAAAAACAUUAAUUGAAUAAAACCAGCCUCAAAUUUAAGAAGUUCAGUAGCAGACUUUUGAUGUCGUCAAAGCCGCUAAAGAGCUCCACACCCAGUUAGCUCAACUGAAACAAGGAUUUCUCAUGGAAUAAAGCCUCCAGCAGAAUUUAUACAAUGAUCAGUCAUGACUUGUACAACUUUGACGGAACCGUGCACUUCUAAUGUUGUACACUCUUAUAACUUACUUCAGAUUGUUGAUGAUGAAUAAACUGAUUGCAAUUUACCCUCUACGUUAGUCUGUACCAAGUCACUUUGUUCGAUAUUUUGUCAAUGCAAGGUCUGCAACGAAGACUACUUCCACCUUUGUUUGAGAAGUUCGUAUGAGGCAAAGUCCAAUCAUUUCCGUUUAAAGAUAUUGAUUGAUUCUUCAUAGCCUUUUGUCAUACAGCUUCUCCUCAUAAUUCAGCAUACGUUUCCAAAAACGUCUCAAGGUCUUCUUCAGGUAAAAUGACUCGUUUGAUUUUCUUUGUAGGUGUUAGUUGACAAGGGGUGUUCAAGGUUUUUUAGGUGUCUCUUUGUGUAGGAACGGCUGAAGCUCUAUCGUUUCCGGCGAGUUCGACGAUGAUGGAAGUGAGGCAGAAAAGGAGAGAGAGGUCUUUUUCGUGAGAAAAAUGAGAAGGGUUCCUUUUUCGAUGUCCUCGGUUUUGUGUUUAGACUAGAAGUUCUUUGCUUAAGAUCACCCUUGAAAUUUGAGAACAAACUUCAAAGAAGCAGAAGUUGGGUUUAAACAAAAAUGGGAAGCACUCUAUUUUGGUCCUAUCUGUUUCAAGAAGGCAGCCACACUCUUUUCUCUUUUUGAGAAGAAGAAGGAAUCUAAACGUAGGGGUGGGGGAACGUUGAGAUGUGCCAUUGCUGCUGUCUCUUUUUUUGUUUAAAAGGCGAGUCCUCCGGAAAGUGUGUGAUGGCAAGAGAAUAAAUUUGAGUGUGGGGACCAUCCCAAAGUUUGUUAUUGAAGAAGACAAAUUCGAAAGUUAUUUACAAAUAAAUAUUUUUUUUUAUUUUUAAAUAAGAAAAUAAAAGUAAAUUUCAAAAGGGUACCCACGUUAGCUUGUUCUGAAGCUUAUCGAAGAGGCUAUCUCAUUUAAUUUUAACAUUUGGCUUGCUUUUUUUUUUUCCUCUUCUUUGUCUUCUUUUUGUUUUGUGUGGUUCUAGCCUGUGUAGUUUUCCGGUCUUUCUUAUUUGAUCGUAUUAGGAAGUGGCUGUAUGAUGACUCCCAUUUGUAUGUCUAUAAGGACAAGGUUCGCUGUGGUAACGCCAGAGAUGUGACCAUUGGAGAUGACGUGGUAUUGAAGAUGCAGGGCUAUGUUUGUGUACCCAAUGUUGAUGGGCUAUGGGAGUUGAUUUUAGCAGAGGCCCAUAGUUUGCGGUAUUCCAUUCAUCCGGGUACAGUGAAGAUGUAUCAAGACUUGAGGCAACAUUUAUUCAAGUUUAUUCAGAGUCGCUACUUGGGAUAAGUUUGUUUCUGGUAUCCCAAGUCACCAGUUUAUUUCAAAUCCGAAAUCGAGGAAAAUUCGAUUUUCCUUGUGAAGUUUGCGAACCAGAAAUUCUGAAUAAGGAAUUUUGUUAACCCGGGGAAGGUGUUAGGCAACCCCGGAUUUUGUGGUUCUAGCAUGGUCAUUUAAACUGUCAUAAUUGGCUUAUUAUCUAAUUUUAACACAUGUUUUAGCCUAAGGUACAAUUUUAACUUAUUAGGCCGAUUUUAAUUAUUUUUUAUGGAAAAGUUCAACGUCAUCUAAAAUAUGUCGUUGGACCACGCCACAUGAAAUGCACCUGUGGUCUGCGACAUAUUUUAUUUAACAUUAUUGAGAUUUUGAUUUGGGUCACAUGAAAUGCACACCUGAUGUUUAGGAAAAUGAAUUUUUAUAAUAACGUGUUUAAAGCAACUACACACUUUCAACUUUGCGAGGGCCAUGGAAAAUUCAACUAAUAACACAUCUCAAUUUCUAAAGAGUUAAAAUAAUUAAAUGAGGCCCAUGAAUUUUGGGAUUUUAUUUGACAUAGCACGCCUUAAAUUAUUCUAAAGGGUAAGCUAUUCGAUGAUAUAAAUAUAAUGAGACCAAUUUAUAUUACUAGUUCAAGACUAAUGUCAAUUCCAAUUCAACUACUAUUAAAUAAAUGAGAACUGAUCUGCUUAUACUUCUAUUGGCGUAUUACAUGACUUCAAUCUCAACUAAAGAAUUAGAAAUGAUUGUGCGACAAUUAGGACAAAGUAUUCAACCAGAAAGCAAAGUGAGCACCCAAAUUCAACGAUUCGGCUAUUUGACCGUACUAAAACAUGAGAUAAACAACUUUUAACAAUUUCAAGAAUGGCAUCUUGAUAUAGCAACUACUGGAACCGUUGAUGCAGUUAAGACCAUUUUGUAUUUGCAAGUCGUUCAUAACAGAAAUGUUCUUCCAGAGAGGUAAAUCACAUUAAUUACUAGCAAAGAAAUGUCUAAUGAAUUUACAAUCAUCAGAGGCAGGAGACAUAAGGAUGUAUGAAAUUUCAGUUUAACAUGCUUGCUAACCCAUUUAAGGACAUAUAUCAAUUGAUAACAUUGGAGGUACAUUUAAAUCUUUGAAUCACAGACAAACCAAACAUAUCCAAAUUACAUUUAAAUGAGCAGUUCUGUCAGAAAAUACUUACAAAAUAAGAAUGAACAAUUGCAAAAACAAUUACUUAAGAUUUCAAACAUUUCAUCAAGUAAUGAUACAAGUUUAAGGAUAUAUACCUAGAUAGCUUAUAAUCGAACUUGAAAUAACCAAAUAAGGGAAGAAGCGGAUGAAUCAGCAGAGCAAGAACAACAACGACAGCAUCAAACAACCUUCUACAACUCAAGUGUCCUUUAGAAAUACCAGAAUAUGUAUAGUAAGUGAUGGAGAAUGAAAUAGUUUUGAGAUUCUUUUUUUUUGUGUGGUAGUUUUGUCUUUGUUCUUGAAGCUUUUUGGUUUUUUCAGAUCUGAUUUCAUUUUUUUUAACAGGGUUUUCAACUGAGUGAAAAGGUGAAUUUUUAGAUCAUGAGGUGAGUGAUUUUGGGCAAUUUUGGUUAAAGGGGGGAUCUGAUUCGUCUUUGCUCUCUGGUAGAAGUGAGGAAGAAGAGUGAGCUCUUUUGGAGAUGAUGAAGGAAAGCUGUGCUCCGUUCCUCAGGAUUUCUAAGGGUUGAGGUCUUAUGUUAUUCUAUGGGUCUAGAUAUUUUUAUAGGUCUAAAUCUAG